UACAGAGGGGGCGAGCGUUGUUCGGAAUUACUGGGCGUAAAGGGCGCGUAGGCGGCCCUCUAAGUCGAACGUGAAAUCCCCGGGCUCAACCCGGGAACUGCGUCCGAUACUGGAGGGCUCGAAUCCGGGAGAGGGAUGUGGAAUUCCAGGUGUAGCGGUGAAAUGCGUAGAUAUCUGGAGGAACACCGGUGGCGAAGGCGGCAUCCUGGACCGGUAUUGACGCUGAGGCGCGAAGGCCAGGGGAGCAAACGGG
This 253-nucleotide ribosomal RNA is filed under the name uncultured bacterium. Its description in RNAcentral is "partial 16S ribosomal RNA". It matches the Rfam family "Bacterial small subunit ribosomal RNA", at positions 524 to 776 of the family's 1533-position model. The record is from RNAcentral.